This 431-nucleotide unclassified non-coding RNA is filed under the name Hevea brasiliensis (rubber tree). The record is from RNAcentral. Lineage: Eukaryota; Viridiplantae; Streptophyta; Magnoliopsida; Malpighiales; Euphorbiaceae.
AUAAUAAUAAUAAUAAUAAGGCUUAGAUAUAGGAAUAGGUUAAUGUUAAAAAGUAAUGCAAUAAUUUAAUUAGUCAUAGACAAAUCAAUGUAGGAAUAUUAAGUUUAUGAUUGGAGCAAUAUUAACAAAAAACUAUUUGGGAAAUGAAUAUUAACAUUGACUUCAAAAUCAGUGCCUAGACAUAAUGCUGUGUAUAGUUGGGAGGAUGGAAGGGUGGAAGGAAACGUAUUUUGACUCUAUAUAUAUCAAGAUGUAUUUCUCUCCUUACAACCUUGAGCAUGCGUUUUUGGAUUACUUUUUUAAUUAUAAUAGUAUUGAGUCUAUCAAUGUGGUAAGGAAAACCGCUUUUAUGUUUGUUAAAAUUUUAAUCUGUUUUGGCAAUCUUUUUUCUGUUUAAACACUCGGGUACAUGAAAAAAAAAAAAAAAUGAA